AGCAAUGUGUUAUCAUAGCCAUUGCCAGGGUGAGUUCCUGGAGCGACGCGGGAGACGGCCAUGAUUUCCGCAAGAAUCAAUCAAUGUUUCUGGCGUACAGAGGAAACUCCAUGAUGCUGCCUCCAGGCCACCUUUUGUGAAACAUGAGCGUUUACAUUCUGACGGGGAAAAACCUCUGCAAACCCUUGAGGAAAAACUAAGUGAAGAUGAUCGAAAGGAAUAUCAUAUAGCUAGAGAUGCCCUUCUGUUUUCCCUGCAGGCAAAAGCAGAUCACUGGGUCUCAGUGAGAUGGUUCAUAAGGAAACGUUCUUUUGUUUCUUUUCACGUGUUAGCUGCUUUUAUUCUACAAGAUGGAUGUGCUGUCUUGGGCUCCUUUUGGUCUUUGGAUAAUCGCUCACUCUCUCUCUGGACUUUUUGGGCCAAUGAAUUUGUCUCCAUCUCGCCAUGGUUCCCCUGCUGCUCGCUCUCUCGUUGGCUAUAACACCUACCAUACCAGGACUUUGGAGUGACAAGUGGAGAGAGUGCUACUGAAGAAUCCAUCCUGGCUUUUAUGCAACCAGACAAAUGACUGCUGGCGCAGAACACUCUGGGCAGGGUUAGAGUGAGCUCCCGUAUACAGCAAGUGUUGUUCCCCUAUACUGAGUCUUAGGACCUCACAGUAACAACCUUUCUGCUGGGGUACCUGGUACCCCCUGCUCCCAGGUGGGCCGGAAGUACAGGAAAGAGCCAUUUUUGGAGGUAUUUCAUCCUUCCGAGCUGCAGCCAGAAGCAGAAGCCACAUACAUAAAGAAAUAUCAAAUCUCCAGAAAUGUUCCAUUAAUGAGAUGGGUUCAGACAGAGUUUUGAGCAGAGGAUCAAGGUUCUAUCCAAAUCUCUGGAACCGUGGAGACUAAGGGCUAUUUUUUUGAAGGCACCGAGCUCCCGUGCAGCCACCUAAAUAAGUGGCAAGAUUUUCAAAAGGGCUCACUGCAUUGGGUGCGUGUUGGAGGCUGAGUUCAUGUGAAAAUCUGGCCCUGGGCUGCCGGGAUGGUACAGAGGAAUUCCUCACCAGUUCUUUAGUCUGCGUUAUGUGGGCGGUUCUUCCAGCCAAAGACCUCAAAGCUCACACACGUUAAUGAACUGAAUCGUCACAACUUCUCAGCAAGGCCCCUCGUCCAGCGUUCCUGAGAGCCAGAGAGAGGAAAUGCAGCCGAGUUUCCUGUGCAUUAAACCUGCUGAUUCCCCCUCUUAAAGUUACACUGUACCAAGUCCCACUAAACAGACAAAAUCAUGUACGUAAUGGGUCACUUUUUUCUCCAUCCAGCUGCUCAGUAGCUCAUAAUCAUGACGGAUAGCAUCUGUCCUGCUCUGCAAGUUACCUUUUAAAGGUCUAUUGGGGUCAUUCCUUUUUAUGGAAAAGAAG
Mauremys reevesii (Reeves's turtle) is the source of this 1402-nucleotide long non-coding RNA. RefSeq lists it as uncharacterized. Lineage: Eukaryota; Metazoa; Chordata; Testudines; Geoemydidae. The record is from RefSeq and is a predicted model, not a curated record. The transcript is spliced from 3 exons.